Molecule: long non-coding RNA, 2552 nt
Organism: Pan troglodytes (chimpanzee)
Lineage: Eukaryota; Metazoa; Chordata; Mammalia; Primates; Hominidae
Exons: 3
Source: RefSeq, a predicted model, not a curated record
ACUCGGCUCCGUUCAGGCGGUGCAGUCACUUCCUUCACCUCAGUGUCCCUGUUUGUGCAAAUGAGGUGACUAUUGGCGCCGACCUACUUCCCAGGCAGUUUUGAAGAGAAGUGGCAAACAUUGAAGGGCGCACACUCUCCUUCCCCAAGCUCCCUCCCUCCCCACGUGUGCACCCAGAAGGAAAUAAAAGCCGUAAUUUGCACUGGCGAGUCGGCCCGCCUCGUCGAGGGUUCCGCUGAGCUGCUCACAAGGGCGUGCGGAGGCCCGCGGCCGGCCCUGGCCCCUGUGGUGGCAGCAGCUGGCUGGCUUCCCGGGCGGCUACCUCCAGCUGCAGCUGUCGGUGCUAUUUGCAGCUCUCCACAUCCUGAGAGCUGGACGCCGAGGACCGCUCCCUGGAGGGCGUGCGUAAAAUGCAGCAGCGGAGCGGUGAGGAGAUUACCGGAAAAACUGGGAGCGGAGUCAGGCUCGUUCUGGAGCAGGGAGAGGCUUGGGAAGUUGCGAAACGUUGACCUGCAGGGUCUUGAGGAACUGUCGGCCUGGGCUGUCCCCGUGGGUCAUUGAACAUUAAUCAGCCACCAGUCCUCGUCCAAGCCAACCGAAAUAGAGUCAGCAGGCAGAAUGACAAAUACAGUUUGAAAGGGAAAGAACUUACUCUUAUUCUCUCCUUGGAAAGGCCUUUCCAGACUCUCGAACUCACGCCUGUCACAUUACCCUGUUGUGUUAUCUUUGUGGGCCUGCGCAGCACCUGAAAUGAUCUGUCUUAGGGCCGAGUACAAUGCCCAGCUCGUUUGUAAAUGAGUGAAGGAGUCCCCUACUAGCAGGCUGCCUACUCAUCAAUCAAGUAGUUGUUGGGUUUCUCAUUUUUACCUUUGGAGAUGUUGUUUUCGACCUACGGGAAGGAAUUGGAUCUAUUUGAGGAGAUGGGGUCUCACUGUGUUGCCGAGGAUGGAGUACAGUGGCUAUUCACAGGCACAGUCAUUGUGCACUACAUCCUGGAACUCCUGGGCUCAAGCAAUCCUUCUGCCUCAGCCUCCCAAGUAGCUGGGACUAUAGACACACACCACCACACUCAGCAAAAGUGACAAUCGUUUCUAAUACAGACAUCCACACCUGGACAUACUGUGAAAAUUAUAUUCAUUGGGCAUAUUAGUGUCCGUUCUUUCCAAGAUCUGAGUUCAUAAUGUUUUCUUCUGUAAUUGUAAUGAAAUAUCACCAUUUCUUGCUAGCAUUAUACCAAAUCCCUCUAGGCAACUGGGUAGCAGGCUAUAUGCCAACCUAGGUUUUUGGAGAUGACUUGUAUCUUGUUUGCUAUUAGAGCCAACAUGUUAGAAUUUGUGAUUUGUCACAGAGUAGAAGACGAGUUCACUCAAGAAGCACUUAUUUAUGAGCACCUACACAGGUGAUAGAACAGUCAAAAGACAGGAGUUCUGGCCCUUCUGGAACUGACAAUCUUACUAUAAAAAUAAAUGUUACCACAUCACUUGAACAAAGGCACAAUUAUGCAAUUUGAGUUGUGUUUUGACUCCCUCCCCACUACCUUGUUUUUUUGUUUUUGUUUUUUGUUUGUUUUGUUUUGUUUUUAUGCUGGAGGUGUUGUGGGAGAUGGAGUUUUGCUCUUGUCACCCAGGCUGGAGUGUGAUGGCACGAUCUCAGCUCACUGCAACCUCUGCCUCCCAGGUUCAAGUGAUUCUCCUGCCCCAGCCUCCUGAGUAGCUGGGAUUACAGGCAUACACCACCACGCCCGGCUAAUUUUUUGUAUUUUCAGUAGAGAUGGGGUUUCACCAUGUUAGUCAGGCUGGUCUCGAACUCCUGACCUCAGGUGAUCUGCCUGCCUCAGCUUCCCAAAGUGCUGGGAUUACAGGUGUGAGCCACUGCACCCGGCCCCUCCUUGCUGUCUUAAUAGAAAGUGGAAAAUAGAAAUCUUCUGCACAAGGCCUUUGGUUUGAAUGGAACAUGCCUAGAGAUAGGGAACUGGAAUCCAACACCAUGGCCUACAGAUCUUUGGAGACUAAAAGAGAAAAAAUCCAGGAAAGAAAAAAAAAAAACCAAAAAACGGCUGCCAUAGCUAUUGGCCUCAUUGGACAGGCCUGGGGGAUGUGCACAGACCCUGAAGGUGGCCGGAGCUGACCAGCUUCCUAUUGCACUCUUCUGGGUGGCCCAGGCACCCAGUUGCAUUGGCUGUGGCCACUGAGAAAGGAUUGAGUCAGGCUGAGCCAUGGGCAAUGACAGAGGAGAGGGGAUCAGCAGAGCCUACCUGAAAGCAAAGGAGAAAUGGGUCGGUCACCUCAUCGCAGAAUUUACAGAUGAAGGGGACAAACUUGUUACCUGAGGGUUUCCUUCAUGCCUUGGAGUUUCUCUGAAAGAAAAGACAGCUGAGCAUUUGCCCUGUUUUUGUUUUAACAUUUUUACACUUUCGAGUCGUGUCAUCAAGUUUUAAGCUAGUAAGAGGACCAUAUACCGAACGGUACAAUAUCAUAGUUCUUGUAGCAGCCACAUUUUGAUGAAUAAAAUUUCUUUUAAAAUCUCUUUUUUAAAAAUGAAGAGACUUCUUC